GGCUGGCAUAGGUGGUGAAUGAGAGUCCUGUAGAAAUCUGCAGGUAGCUGUUCUCUUUGAACUUGAUUAGGAAAGAGGACGAAAGCUAUUCAUUUGAAUCCAAGGUCCACCUGUGAGUUGGCUAUAGGCCUUAUCAACACCAGAAGCAAGAGAAGAGGAGAAAAUUCCACCAUAUCAGUGCAGGUCUAUCUCCAGUGCUAGCUGUGGUGGCUUUGGAGUGACAGAAGAUCAUCACCUUCAACCUAGUGAAAGAAUAUUAGGACACUGACCCAAGACAUACUGAGAACCAAGGCCAAGACUGUGUAGAGCUAUC
This 313-nucleotide long non-coding RNA is filed under the name Cervus hanglu yarkandensis (Yarkand deer). Its description in RNAcentral is "lncRNA (ENSCHYG00000017537.1)". Lineage: Eukaryota; Metazoa; Chordata; Mammalia; Artiodactyla; Cervidae. The record is from RNAcentral.